GAUGAAGAACGUAGUGAAAUGCGAUAAGUAAUGUGAAUUGCAGAAUCCAGUGAAUCAUCGAGUCUUUGAACGCACAUUGCGCCCCCUGGUAUUCCGGGGGGCAUGCCUGUCCGAGCGUCAUUGCUGCCCUCAAGCACGGCUUGUGUGUUGGGCCUCCGUCCUCCUCCCGGGGGACGGGCCCGAAAGGCAGCGGCGGCACCGCGUCCGGUCCUCGAGCGUAUGGGGCUUCGUCACCCGCUCUUGUAGGCCCGGCCGGCGCUUGCCGACACAUCAAUCUUUUUUCCAGGUUGACCUCGGAUCAGGUAGGGAUACCCGCUGAACUUAAGCAUAUCAAUAAGCGGAGGA
RNAcentral lists this unclassified non-coding RNA (345 nucleotides) under soil metagenome. Its description in RNAcentral is "partial contains 5.8S ribosomal RNA, internal transcribed spacer 2, and large subunit ribosomal RNA". The stretch from base 1 to 120 matches the Rfam family "5.8S ribosomal RNA", at positions 35 to 154 of the family's 154-position model. The record is from RNAcentral.